UAUGUAAAACAAGUGACUUGAAAUGGA
Molecule: non-coding RNA, 27 nt
Filed under: Rattus norvegicus (Norway rat)
Lineage: Eukaryota; Metazoa; Chordata; Mammalia; Rodentia; Muridae
Source: RNAcentral